AAUGGGUCAGCGACUUAUAUUCUGUAGCAAGGUUAACCGAAUAGGGGAGCCGAAGGGAAACCGAGUCUUAACUGGGCGUUAAGUUGCAGGGUAUAGACCCGAAACCCGGUGAUCUAGCCAUGGGCAGGUUGAAGGUUGGGUAACACUAACUGGAGGACCGAACCGACUAAUGUUGAAAAAUUAGCGGAUGACCUGUGGCUGGGGGUGAAAGGCCAAUCAAACCGGGAGAUAGCUGGUUCUCCCCGAAAGCUAUUUAGGUAGCGCCUCGUGAACUCAUCUUCGGGGGUAGAGCACUGUUUCGGCUAGGGGGUCAUCCCGACUUACCAACCCGAUGCAAACUGCGAAUACCGAAGAAUGUUAUCACGGGAGACACACGGCGGGUGCUAACGUCCGUCGUGAAGAGGGAAACAACCCAGACCGCCAGCUAAGGUCCCAAAGUCAUGGUUAAGUGGGAAACGAUGUGGGAAGGCCCAGACAGCCAGGAUGUUGGCUUAGAAGCAGCCAUCAUUUAAAGAAAGCGUAAUAGCUCACUGGUCGAGUCGGCCUGCGCGGAAGAUGUAACGGGGCUAAACCAUGCACCGAAGCUGCGGCAGCGGCGCUUAUGCGUUGUUGGGUAGGGGAGCGUUCUGUAAGCCGUUGAAGGUGUGCUGUGAGGCAUGCUGGAGGUAUCAGAAGUGCGAAUGCUGACAUAAGUAACGAUAAAGCGGGUGAAAAGCCCGCUCGCCGGAAGACCAAGGGUUCCUGUCCAACGUUAAUCGGGGCAGGGUGAGUCGACCCCUAAGGCGAGGCCGAAAGGCGUAGUCGAUGGGAAACAGGUUAAUAUUCCUGUACUUGGUGUUACUGCGAAGGGGGGACGGAGAAGGCUAUGUUAGCCGGGCGACGGUUGUCCCGGUUUAAGCAUGUAGGCGGAGGUUCCAGGUAAAUCCGGUACCUUUUAACGCUGAGGUGUGAUGACGAGGCACUACGGUGCUGAAGUAACAAAUGCCCUGCUUCCAGGAAAAGCCUCUAAGCAUCAGGUAACACGAAAUCGUACCCCAAACCGACACAGGUGGUCAGGUAGAGAAUACCAAGGCGCUUGAGAGAACUCGGGUGAAGGAACUAGGCAAAAUGGUGCCGUAACUUCGGGAGAAGGCACGCUGACAUGUAGGUGAAGCCCCUGCGGGUGGAGCUGAAGUCAGUCGAAGAUACCAGCUGGCUGCAACUGUUUAUUAAAAACACAGCACUGUGCAAACACGAAAGUGGACGUAUACGGUGUGACGCCUGCCCGGUGCCGGAAGGUUAAUUGAUGGGGUUAUCCGUAAGGAGAAGCUCUUGAUCGAAGCCCCGGUAAACGGCGGCCGUAACUAUAACGGUCCUAAGGUAGCGAAAUUCCUUGUCGGGUAAGUUCCGACCUGCACGAAUGGCGUAAUGAUGGCCAGGCUGUCUCCACCCGAGACUCAGUGAAAUUGAACUCGCUGUGAAGAUGCAGUGUACCCGCGGCAAGACGGAAAGACCCCGUGAACCUUUACUAUAGCUUGACACUGAACAUUGAGCCUUGAUGUGUAGGAUAGGUGGGAGGCUUUGAAGCGUGGACGCCAGUCUGCGUGGAGCCAACCUUGAAAUACCACCCUUUAAUGUUUGAUGUUCUAACCUGGCGCCGU
RNAcentral lists this ribosomal RNA (1640 nucleotides) under Pluralibacter gergoviae. RNAcentral's name for it is "partial 23S ribosomal RNA". It matches the Rfam family "Bacterial large subunit ribosomal RNA", at positions 614 to 2236 of the family's 2925-position model. The record is from RNAcentral. Lineage: Bacteria; Pseudomonadati; Pseudomonadota; Gammaproteobacteria; Enterobacterales; Enterobacteriaceae.